CGAACGAGAAGCUUGGGAUUCAAUCCUUCGGGAGAGAUUCCUUUGUAGAGAGUGGCGGAAGGGUGAGUAUCGCGUGGGUAAUCUACCCUUAAGUUGGGGAUAACUUGGCGAAAGCUGAGCUAAUACCGAAUGUGGUCUUCCUGCACAAGCAGGAAUGAUUAAAGGCGGGGAUCCUUCGGGACCUGUCGCUUGAGGAGGAACCCGCGUCCUAUCAGCUUGUUGGUGAGGUAACGGCUCACCAAGGCUUACGGGUAGCUGGUCUGAGAGGAUGGUCAGCCACACUGGGACUGAGACACUGCCCAGACUCCUACGGGAGGCUGCAGUCGAGGAUCAUUCGCAAUGCGCGAAAGCGUGACGAUGCGACGCUGCGUGGGGGAUGACGGCCUUCGGGUUGUAAACUCCUGUCAUUUGGGAACAAUAGGUCCGGUGCUAAUAGCAUCGGGACUUGAUGGUACCAGAAGAGGAAGCCACGGCUAACUCUGUGCCAGCAGCCGCGGUAACACAGAGGUGGCGAGCGUUGUUCGGAUUUACUGGGCGUAAAGGGUGCGUAGGUGGUGUUGUGUGUCGGAUGUGAAAUCUCAUCGCUCAACGGUGAAACUGCAUUCGAAACUGCAAUGCUAGAGGGCAGGAGAGGAAAGCGGAAUUCUUGGUGUAGCGGUGGAAUGCGUUGAUAUCAAGAAGAACACCUGUGGCGAAGGCGGCUUUCUGGAAUGCUACUGACACUGAGGCACGAAAGUUGGGGUAGCGAACAGGAUUAGAUACCCUGGUAGUCCCAACCGUAAACGGUGUACACUUGGUGUAGAGGGAUUUGACCCCCUCUGUGCCGUAGCUAACGCGUUAAGUGUACCGCCUGGGGAGUACGGCCGCAAGGCUAAAACUCAAAGAAAUUGACGGGGGCCCGCACAAGCGGAGGAGCAUGUGGCUCAAUUCGAUGCAACGCGAAGAACCUUACCAGGGCUUGACAUGCAGCUGCUACUCCCCUGAAAGGGGGAUUCCUUCGAGGGUGCUGCACAGGUGUUGCAUGGCUGUCGUCAGUUCGUGCCGUGAGGUGUUGGGUUAAGUCCCGCAACGAACGCAACCCCUAUGGUUAGUUGCCACCGCAGAUGUUAAGUCUGCGAGCACUCUAAUCAGACUGCCCGUGCAAGCGGGAGGAAGGUAGGGACGACGUCAAGUCAGUAUGGCCCUUAUGCCCUGGGCUGCACACGUGCUACAAUGGCUGGCACAAUGGGCCGCGAGACCGUGAGGUGGAGCCAAUCCCCAAAGCCAGCCUCAGUUCGGAUUGGAGUCUGCAAUUCGACUCCAUGAAGUUGGAUUCGCUAGUAAUGGCGCAUCAGCUACGGCGCCGUGAAUACGUUCCCGGGCCUUGUACACACCGCCCGUCACAUCAUGAAAGCCUUCUGCACCCGAAGUCGCUGAUCCAACUCGCUUUUAGUGAGAGGAAGGCGCCGAAGGUGUGGGGGGUGAUUGGGAUGAAGUCGAAACAAGGUA
RNAcentral lists this ribosomal RNA (1488 nucleotides) under metagenome. RNAcentral's name for it is "bacterial SSU rRNA". It matches the Rfam family "Bacterial small subunit ribosomal RNA". The record is from RNAcentral.